RNAcentral lists this ribosomal RNA (254 nucleotides) under uncultured bacterium. RNAcentral's name for it is "partial 16S ribosomal RNA". It matches the Rfam family "Archaeal small subunit ribosomal RNA", at positions 474 to 727 of the family's 1478-position model. The record is from RNAcentral.
UACCAGCACCCCGAGUGGUCGGGACGUUUUAUUGGGCCUAAAGCAUCCGUAGCCGGUUCUGCAAGUCUUCCGUUAAAUCCACCUGCUUAACAGAUGGGCCGCGGAAGAUACUAUAGAGCUAGGAGGCGGGAGAGGCAAGCGGUACUCGAUGGGUAGGGGUAAAAUCCGUUGAUCCAUUGAAGACCACCAGUGGCGAAGGCGGCUUGCCAGAACGCGCUCGACGGUGAGGGAUGAAAGCUGGGGGAGCAAACCGG